Molecule: RNA transcript, 3707 nt
Organism: Theobroma cacao (cacao)
Lineage: Eukaryota; Viridiplantae; Streptophyta; Magnoliopsida; Malvales; Malvaceae
Gene name: katanin p80 WD40 repeat-containing subunit B1 homolog KTN80.2
Source: RefSeq, a predicted model, not a curated record
AACAGUAAAAAACCCGGGCUCAAUCAUAGGCUGCGGAAAAUCUGAAAUUCCAACUCUGCAUAGUCUUUUCGAGUCAUAUGAAAAGAAGAAAUUUUCCUCUGAAAUUUUGAUUUCUUUGUUUUUUUUUAAAAUUUUAUUUUGAUUUUUAGGGGCUGUCAAGUUCUCAACGGAAUUUGAUUCCUUAGCUUUUCUUGGUGGAUUUGCAUUUCAAGAAUAGUAGACAUUUUUUUGUUUUUUUAAGUUUUCGAUUUUUCGACUUUUUAGUUGAAUCUUGAGGAACACUUUAUCGAGUGAAAGGAGAUUAGAAUCGCGGUUCAAGUUUCGAUUCCGAUCUCGUGUUGGAUUUAGUUUCGUGGAAAAUGGCGAAGCGUGGAUAUAAGCUGCAGGAAUUUGUGGCACAUACCGCAAAUGUGAAUUGUCUAAGUAUGGGAAAAAAGACACGUAGGCUUCUUAUUACAGGCGGAGAUGAUCAUAAAGUCAAUGUUUGGGCAAUUGGGAAACCCACUUCUCUGAUGAGUCUUUGUGGUCAUACUAGUCCAGUGGAAUCUUUAGCUUUUGAUUCGGCAGAAGUCUUGGUGCUUGCUGGAGCAUCUACAGGUGUGAUAAAGCUUUGGGAUCUGGAAGAAACAAAGAUGGUUCGAGGACUAACCGGUCACAGAUCUAAUUGCACUGCCAUGGAAUUCCAUCCAUUUGGUGAGUUCUUUGCAUCUGGUUCCAUGGACACAAAUCUAAAGAUUUGGGAUAUCAGAAAAAAGGGAUGCAUUCACACAUACAAGGGCCAUACUCGAGGCAUUAGUACAAUUAGAUUCACUCCUGAUGGUCGCUGGGUAGUUUCUGGUGGAUUUGAUAAUGUUGUAAAGGUGUGGGAUCUUACUGCUGGAAAACUGUUGCAUGAUUUCAAGUUUCAUGAAGGGCAUAUUCACUCCAUAGAAUUCCAUCCUCUUGAGUUUCUCCUGGCCACAGGUUCAGCAGACAGAACAGUAAAGUUCUGGGAUUUAGAAACCUUUGAACUGAUUGGAUCUUCCAGACCUGAGGCCACAGGGGUUCGCUCAAUUACCUUUCAUCCUGAUGGAAGAACCCUAUUCUGUGGAUUAGAUGAUGAUUUGAAGGUUUAUUCAUGGGAGCCGGUAGUUUGCCAUGAUUCUGUUGAUAUGGGAUGGUCAACGCUUGGUGACCUCUGCAUUAAUGAAGGCAAACUUUUGGGUUGCUCGUUCUAUCGGAAUUCUGUUGGGGUUUGGGUAGCAGAUGUAGCGCAUAUUGAGCCAUAUGGACGAAAUGACCUCACGGAGAAGAAAUUUAAUCUUGAAGGAAGUUAUUCUUUGGAGAAAGCAGGGUGUGGAAUGAGGUCAACUUUGGGAUCACGGCCCAUGUCUCCUGAUUAUGACACAAAGGAAAUAAAGAACAUAUAUGUUGACACUGCUGGCAGUAAUCCUCCUAUUACUUCACAUAAAGCUGGCUCUUUAAAUUCUCCAAAAGUGGUAUUCCCAUUCGAUGCCAGUGAAAUAAGUAAUCUUGCAGCUGAGAAGCAGAGUCCUGGAACAGGUGUUAACGCUAAAUCUAAUGGACAAUCAGGUAACAAGUCUUUUAUCACACCUAGUGCUGUACCACAGGACAGCCCUCUUGGGAAAGACUCUAUCAAUUCCGGAAAAGAAUCUAUCACCUUUUCAAGGACAAAACCAGGCAUGUUGCUCAGACCAGCUCAUGUUAGAAGACCGUCUGUUAACAAGUUCGAGGUUGAAAAGCUGUCAGCUGCAGUUGAAUCAGGAACUCUUAGCAAUACAAAAAGUGCGUUAGACAGCUCAAUGGAUCUGAAUUCUCAAACUAGGCUUGUAUCAGAGGACAGAGCUAGAAAAUCCUGUGAUGAAAAGGAUUCAAACAUCAAGAGUGUUACAGAGAAAUCUGAAAAGAAGUUAUCAGCAAAGACACCCCCUAAUCAAGAAACUUGUAAUGAAUCCCUCAAUUGCAACAAAGACUCAAACUCUGUCAAAUUUGUCAAUGGAGUGGCUGUUGUUCCAGGGAGAACACGCACUCUGGUUGAGAAGUUCGAACGAAGAGAGAGAUUAAACAGCAGUGGUGAUCCAACAACUAACAGUACAUUGCCUGUGGUACCUGAAACAGAUAGUACACCAGCCAUAAUGAAAGGAGGGACACAAAUCUCUGAAGCACAAUCAAUCUCUGCCAAUGAUGGGAAAAGUGCUGAAAGUCUAAUUUCUAGAACAAAAUCAACUUCUGGCUCUGAGGGAAGCAUUACUGGAAGUCAGAUUCCUAGGAGGGAAUCAAACCCCACUUCUGAUGGGAUCAUUACUGGAGAUCAAAUUUCUAGAAGGGAAUUAACUGUCACCCCUGAUAGGAUCAUUACUGGAAAUCAAAUUUCUAGAAAGGAAUCAACCAUCACCCCUGAUAGGAUCAUUCCUGGAAAUCAGAUUUCUAGAAGGGAACCAAACUCUUCUCCAUCUGGUGGCAUCUUUACUGGAAGUCAAAUUUCUAGAAGGGAGUCAACCUCUGCUUCCGAUGGGAUUAUUGCUGGAAACCAAAUUUCUAGAAGGGAAUCAACUUCUGUUUCUGAUGGGAUCAUUUCUAGAAGGGAAGCAACCUAUGCUAAUGAUAGGAAUGGACCAAGUGGUUCUAUUACUGAAAAUCAAAUUUCUAGGAGGGGAUUGAGUUCUGCUAAUGAUGUGAAUGUCACUAUUAUUGAAAGCCAAAUUUCAAAGGGGGAAUCAAUCUCUGCUAAUGAUGGAAACAUAACUGAAAGUCUGAUGCAAACACAUGAUUCAUUCUUAAGCACUCUUCGAUCACGCUUGACAAAGUUGCAGGUGGUGCGGCAUUUUUGGGAAAAGAAUGACAUUAAAGGUGCAAUUGGUGCCUUGCGGAAGCUACCAGAUCAUUCUGUGGGUAUUUAUGGGAAGAUUUCAUGUGCAAGCAGAUGUAAUCAGUGUUCUCAUGGAAAAAAUGGAGAUUCUCACCUUAGAUCUGUUUUCUGGCCUAAUUCCUGUGCUUAUGGGCUUAUUAGAUAGCAAAAUGGAAAGGCAUGUAAAUGUCUCAUUGGAGAUGCUCCUGAAGCUUGUAGCAGUUUUUGGUCCAAUGAUACGCUCUACUGUUUCAGCCCGACGUGGUGUUGGCGUUGAUCUUCAUGCUGAGCAGAGGCGGGAAUGUUGCAAUCAAUGUUUUAUGCAGCUGCAAAAGAUUCAGAAACUUCUUCCACCACUUGUAAGGAGAGGUGGUGCCAUAGCAAGAUGUGCCGAGGAAUUGAAUUUAGUUCUUCAAGAAUGAUGAUGAAUGCCGCCAUCUUAAACCCAUCUGCUGCUGAAGCAUGAAAAAGAGUGGCUGGGCUGACACCUUCUUAUAAAGAUUCAAGUGUCAUAGAAGGCCUUUUCUUUUCUGUAUCUUACAUCUUGGAUACACAAUUUUGUCUUUGCCACCUUACUUCAUCCUGCUCUGCCCGCGUUUGCCGGUACCGGACUGCUUUAGCUUGAGUCAGUAUCAUUGCCUGUAACCCGUCACGUUUUGAAGAUGGAAGAAGCCAGCCUGUGAACCUCACAAUGCUUCUGGUACACCACGGAAAUUUCCUUUUGUCAUUCUUUGAUUCAGUAUAGUGCUGUUUGUAAUCUUCGUGUUAAAAAUAUAUGUGAGCAUAUCCCAAUGCAAAUAUACUCUGCGAUAAUAUCCAAUGAAAUAUAUCAAUUCCUUGAAAGCUUCUUUUUCCUAGA